RNAcentral lists this ribosomal RNA (253 nucleotides) under uncultured bacterium. RNAcentral describes it as "partial 16S ribosomal RNA". It matches the Rfam family "Bacterial small subunit ribosomal RNA", at positions 524 to 776 of the family's 1533-position model. The record is from RNAcentral.
UACGUAGGUGGCAAGCGUUAUCCGGAAUUAUUGGGCGUAAAGAGCGCGCAGGUGGUUAAUUAAGUCUGAAGUGAAAGCCCACGGCUUAACCGUGGAGGGUCAUUGGAAACUGGUUGACUUGAGUGCAGAAGAGGGAAGUGGAAUUCCAUGUGUAGCGGUGAAAUGCGUAGAGAUAUGGAGGAACACCAGUGGCGAAGGCGGCUUCCUGGUCUGCAACUGACACUGAGGCGCGAAAGCGUGGGGAGCAAACAGG